UACAGAGGUCUCAAGCGUUGUUCGGAUUCAUUGGGCGUAAAGGGUGCGUAGGUGGUGAUGCAAGUCUGGUGUGAAAUCUCGGAGCUCAACUCCGAAAUUGCACCGGAUACUGCGUGACUCGAGGACUGUAGAGGAGAUCGGAAUUCACGGUGUAGCAGUGAAAUGCGUAGAUAUCGUGAGGAAGACCAGUUGCGAAGGCGGAUCUCUGGGCAGUUCCUGACACUGAGGCACGAAGGCCAGGGGAGCAAACGGG
Molecule: ribosomal RNA, 253 nt
Filed under: uncultured bacterium
Lineage: Bacteria
Also listed under: 2 other names
Description: partial 16S ribosomal RNA
Rfam family: Bacterial small subunit ribosomal RNA
Source: RNAcentral